RNAcentral lists this ribosomal RNA (464 nucleotides) under uncultured bacterium. RNAcentral's name for it is "bacterial SSU rRNA". It matches the Rfam family "Bacterial small subunit ribosomal RNA", at positions 355 to 825 of the family's 1533-position model. The record is from RNAcentral.
UAAGGAAUAUUGCGCAAUGGGCGAAAGCCUGACGCAGCGACGCCGCGUGGGGGAUGAAGGUCUUCGGAUUGUAAACCCCUUUCGGGAGGGAAGAUGGAAUGGGGUAACCCAUUCGGGCGGUACCUCCAGAAGCAGCCACGGCUAACUUCGUGCCAGCAGCCGCGGUAAUACGAAGGUGGCAAGCGUUAUUCGGAUUUACUGGGCGUACAGGGAGCGUAGGCGGUUCGGUAAGCCCUCUGUGAAAUCUUCAGGCUUAACCUGGAAAAGUCGGAGGGGACUGCUGGGCUAGAGGACGGGAGAGGAGCGCGGAAUUCCCGGUGUAGCGGUGAAAUGCGUAGAGAUCGGGAGGAAGGCCGGUGGCGAAGGCGGCGCUCUGGAACGUUUCUGACGCUGAGGCUCGAAAGCGUGGGGAGCCAACAGGAUUAGAUACCCUUGUAGUCCCUGAGCGGGCUGGCAAGGCGCAU